GCUCAUGAACAAAUCGGAUCUAGGCCAAAUGAUCCAAGUCCCCACAACACAUAAACACUCAGUAUCAUCCCUCGACCAUUUUCAAUCCAUCACUGCUUCCACACUCUCUCGCUCUCGUUUCGAAUACCAUGCCGAAGUCCAUGAACAAAUCACAUCCGAAAUCAACGCUCAAUCAUCAUCACCAAAAUCCUACUUGAUUCAAAUUCAUCUUCAUCUUCACCAAAUCGGCAUUGUGGAAUCCACACCGAAAGUGACUCGUGUUCAUGCGUGAAAUCGAGCGGCAUCAUGAAAUUCAAACCCAUAAGAUAAGCGAGGGCAAAAGACUUGCCAAAUCAAAGUUCUGACGCGGCGGCUCCCCGGAGAAUUGCAGGAUGCUAACGAUUGAUUCCCAUGAAUGUUGCAGCCUUGAUGAAUUGUUCUAUGUUGCUGUUAAUUCUAUUGGCGUGAUGAUGAAGUUCCAAACUUUUGAAUUUGUGAAUCUGGCCUGUGUGAGCUUGCAGGGCAUUCAUGUUGAUUAUAUUAAGAACCAGUGGUAGGUAAAAACCACAAUGAUGCUUUGAUGCUUGUUGAAAAAGAAAGCCUUGUGUGCAUGGAAUGAACAAGAGGUAUGAUGCCAAAUAUCAAUAUGGACUUGGAAGCAAUCAUGUACAAGAAGCCAAACAAAUAUCAACAUGGACUUGGAAGAUGAAAUUAGAACUAGGAUUGGAAAGUUAGGGGUUUAGGAUGGAAAACAAUUUUGAGUUGACUUUGGUCAAAGUUGACAAAAAGUCAACUAUUGACCAAAGUCAACAUUGGUCAACGUGUAUUUUUUGCAUCUUUUGUAUGUAAUGAAUAUUUCAUGGAUGAUAAUGAAUAGAAUUGGUUAUUUGAAUGAAAA
Molecule: long non-coding RNA, 877 nt
Organism: Lathyrus oleraceus (garden pea)
Lineage: Eukaryota; Viridiplantae; Streptophyta; Magnoliopsida; Fabales; Fabaceae
Exons: 3
Source: RefSeq, a predicted model, not a curated record